CUAUACAGCUUACUGCCUUCC
Molecule: microRNA, 21 nt
Filed under: Xenopus laevis (African clawed frog)
Lineage: Eukaryota; Metazoa; Chordata; Amphibia; Anura; Pipidae
Also listed under: 1 other name
Description: Xla-Let-7-P2b3c_3p* (star (passenger))
Source: RNAcentral